Non-coding RNA from Osmia lignaria (orchard mason bee), 2397 nucleotides. The record is from RefSeq and is a predicted model, not a curated record. NCBI's taxonomy places the organism in Eukaryota, Metazoa, Arthropoda, Insecta, Hymenoptera, Megachilidae.
UUUUUAGGCCACUAAAAGAGUUUUGUGACUCAAACGGUGAGUUGACCGCCCUGCAUUGAACCUUCCUCUUUCGAAUGAGCCCUCACCCAGUCUCAAAUAUUCUCGUAUAAGGACGAAAAACGAAAAAUCCCGGACCCCUUUUUAGGCCCAUUUUUGCCGGUAAAGUCACCUCACAGCAUUACCCGUGUCUACCCCCUUAAGCUGGGUACAGAGGAACGCGCCGCGGUUGCAACGCGGCAUUACAAAGUGUGUCCGGUGUUUCGUGUUUACCACGAGCACGCGCCGCGCAUGGAACAAACCAUGAAUUUCAACGCACAUUUCCCAUCAGUUCAUUGUUUUCGGUACCUAGGCUCGAACGCGGCAAACCCGAAGAAAACCGUCCACACUGCGGCAUGGAAUCCUCUUGUGUUCGCGCAAAAGAUCGACAGAAAUUGGUUCGUUGCGAGGCAUUACAGCAUUGCCGCGAGACAUAUUCGCGCUACUAUCCAAACGAAUGAAUAUUUGCCCAAAUACGGUCGUUCCAUGCCGCGUUGCAGCCGCGGCGCGCUCGUCUGUUCCCAGUUUUAUGCUAUAUUUUAUGGAGUAGGAGUACCGAAAAUAUUUGAAAUGCUGUUGUAAUAUUACUACAGUAAUGUCAUUCCCUGUUUUGUGGAUCCAAACACUGGCGCGUAUUCUCAAAAUAUUGAAUUCUCAUGGUGGGGCUUAUGACCCGUUCGAGUAGAGGUGGAAUUAAACAAGAUACAUACUUUAGUUGAUCAUCUAUGUGAAUAUUUGUGGCGAUAUGAAGUAAAUAAAAACCGAGGGGGUCCAUUUUAUCAAUUAUUGGAAGAUAUUAAAUAUGUUUAUAAUGGAAACUAAUGAAGAACGUAUACAGAAUACUGUUGUAAUCUUAUUCUACGGGGUGUCGCUAAUGCAGGAAAUUACACUAAAAUGGUAAAACGUUUCUCGCAAAAUUUUAAGUCUUAACUUUCGAGUCGCCAAAAAUCCUUCUCGCAAAUACCGUUUUUAUGCAAAAUGAAGCUAUUUGCGAAAUCUUAGACAAAUCAGGUUGGACAGGUUUUCGGAAACUUUGCCAAAAUUUUUAUUUUUUAAGUAUCAAAGAAUACAGUAUUGGUUUAUUUGAUUUUUUAUCACGUUGACUGUCAUACUGAAAUUAUUGGAAAAUUUAAUUAGGUAAUACUUACAUAUAUUUUUAUCUAUUGCUUACACCAGUGUUCGCGAACAGCGAAUUCGUCAGCGAACACUGCUAAGGAGGCGGUUCACCAAAUGGCCUGUUCGCGAGCUCAAACGGUGUCUGGAAACGUUGUAACACGUUUCCGUUGAAUUUGACUAUUAUACAUCAGCCAGUGAACAAUUGUGCACUCGUUUGUUUUCUAUUCGCAAGCUACAUCUGAGCUCCUGUGUGAAUUCGACUCGCAAACAGCUUGUGAACUGUAUACAUACAUAAUACAAGUAUUUCUAAUUAGAUAAAUAGCGAAUUUAUAACAAUGUUAGUGAUAGAUUUUUAUUUAAUUUUGUAUUUCAUAUUGUUUCGUAUUUCAUUUUCUAAGUUAUACACUCAACUUUAAAUUAAUAUCUUUGUAUAAAAGAAGUUUGGGUCACGAUUGAUUCAGGCUCAGCUGUUCAUCGGGUUAAACCCUUAUAUAGUGUGUCCCGCGUAACUGGAAACACUCCAUUAUUUCCUAAACUAUUAAAGAUACAAGAAAUUGCUUUGGUGGGCAUUGCACGGUUAGAGGGGGUAACAUUUUGACGUAAACAAAUUUUUUUUUGCAUUAUUAUUUACAAAAAUAUAAUGGCAAGGUUUGAUUUUUUAAAUGAAACUAUAUAUUUUUUUUUUCGAUCAUUUGAUAGUGUUUUUGAAGUCGAAUUCAUUGAGCUUGCAUGUAUACACUUGAUUUUCAUUUGUUUUCGAGAUAUUGCGCUAACAAAUUUGGAGAUUUUUCACGGGAAAAAUUCACUUCAAUGGGAAAUAUCAGCAGGGAUCCUGUUCGCGCGUGAAGUGCCACGUGUUAAGCAGUAUCGCUUGAAAUGGAUACCAUGGGCGGCCAGCAGGACGACAAGUCCAAACUUUUAAAUUAAUUUUUUAAGACUCUCUUCAUGGGCCGCCGUCCAAGGGUUAAACAUCGUCCACAUAUGAAUGACAUGGCAGUCAACGUACCCGGUUACACCCGACGAAUGAUUUUCACUAAAUGGGAAAUUUGUCAUUUCUACUAUUUUACCUUUUAUAAAUUAAAUCCUCAAGAAGCUUACUACAUGGCUAUAUCUUCAUGUUUGUUGAUAAAUCGGCCUCUGUCGAUAUAGGUACAACACCGAGGGAAAUUCUCUGAAUACGGGUAUCCAUCUUUACUUUCACAGAUAGUCCUACUCAUUGUCAACUUAGAAAAAAAAGAAAAAGAA